CCUACGGGCGGCAGCAGUGGGGAAUAUUGCGCAAUGGGCGCAAGCCUGACCCAGCAACGCCGCGUGAAGGAAGAAGGCUUUCGGGUUGUAAACUACUUUUAUGAGGGACGAAAGAAAUGACGGUACCUCAUGAAUAAGCCGCGGCUAACUGCGUGACAGCAGCCGCGGUAAUACGUAGGAGGCACGCGUUAUCCGGAUUUACUGGGUGUAAAGGGCGUGCAGGCGGGACGGCAAGUCAGAUGUGAAAAUCAGGGGCUCAACCCAUAACCUGCAUUUGAAACUGUAGUUCUUGAGUGAUGGAGAGGCAGGUGGAAUUCCGGGUGUAGCGGUGAAAUGCGUAGAUAUACGGAGGAAUACCAGUGGCGAAGGCGGCCCCCUGGACAUUAACUGACGCUGAGGUGCGAAAGCGUGGGGAGCAAACAGGAUUAGAUACCCGUGUAGUC
This 443-nucleotide ribosomal RNA is filed under the name uncultured bacterium. Its description in RNAcentral is "partial 16S ribosomal RNA". It matches the Rfam family "Bacterial small subunit ribosomal RNA", at positions 338 to 795 of the family's 1533-position model. The record is from RNAcentral.